Long non-coding RNA from Triticum aestivum (bread wheat), 766 nucleotides. RefSeq lists it as uncharacterized. The transcript is spliced from 3 exons. The record is from RefSeq and is a predicted model, not a curated record. Lineage: Eukaryota; Viridiplantae; Streptophyta; Magnoliopsida; Poales; Poaceae.
GCCGCCGCCCGUAGGCCGCCACCACCAGCGCCCGCAGAGCUCCCAACCCCGAGCUCCUCCUCCCGUGCACCUUCUCCCCAGCCUUCCUCGCGCGUCAUCGGGCGACCGGCGCCACCACCAGCGACCAUCCAGGUCACGCCACCGCCCCCUGCCUUCUCUCUUUCCUAUCUCUCUCUAAUCUCCUCAUCUCUCCUUCUCCCCAGGAGCUCAGCGCCAGCGCCAUGGAUGCCCAGUCCUCGAGCUCACCUUGGAGGUUCGAACGCCGCCAUGGGACCUCCACCGGCCAGAUCCGGCGCCUCCCUCCCCUGAUCCGUGCGCCCUCCACCUCCUCUACCCGAUCUGGCGCCCCACCCACCUCCCCACCACGCCCUGCGCACCGCCGGCCGCCUCCUGCCCCGUCCCGCCUCAGUGCGCGCCGCCGGGCGCCUCAUGCCUCCCAAUCCCAUCUCCUCCUCACCCGCGGCUUCUUCGCCGUUCACGGCUCCCGAAGCUCGAGCGGGCCGAUCUACGCGUCGGCGACCUCGUGGGAGGCAGAGGAUGGGAUGGUGUGCUGUGCUCGAGAAGAGUGGGCUCGUGUAAGGGGAUUGGAGGGUGGCGUCGGCGGGCUCGCGGACGGGGAUGGAGAGGGCGGUUGCUGGCAAAAUCAAGGCUGGGCAAGCCGGAAUUGAUCUAAAAAAACAGGAAAUAUAAAUAGCAUGCAAGCAAUCAGGUUGAUCAGAGCCAGACAGUUCACUACAGUAAGCAAUGCAAUAUCGUGGCAGAUUGU